GGACCCGUAGCUCAGUUGGUUAGAGCAGCUGACUCAUAAUCAGCUGGUCCCAGGUUCGAGUCCUGGCGGGUCCA
RNAcentral lists this transfer RNA (74 nucleotides) under bacterium. Its description in RNAcentral is "tRNA-Met". It matches the Rfam family "tRNA". From Rfam's summary of the family: Transfer RNA (tRNA) molecules are approximately 80 nucleotides in length. Their secondary structure includes four short double-helical elements and three loops (D, anti-codon, and T loops). Further hydrogen bonds mediate the characteristic L-shaped molecular structure. tRNAs have two regions of fundamental functional importance: the anti-codon, which is responsible for specific mRNA codon recognition, and the 3' end, to which the tRNAs corresponding amino acid is attached (by aminoacyl-tRNA synthetases). tRNAs cope with the degeneracy of the genetic code in two manners: having more than one tRNA (with a specific anti-codon) for a particular amino acid; and 'wobble' base-pairing, i.e. permitting non-standard base-pairing at the 3rd anti-codon position. The record is from RNAcentral.